GUUGAAACUGCUCCCCAUAAAACCUAGCUAUGACAAAUAAAUAGGGAGACCAGUAGCAAACCAUUCAUGAGCCAAUACCUUGUGGUGGCAUGAGGUAUCUCCACCAUUGCAUAGUGACACUAUGAACGCUGAGUGCUACUUUACCAUACAUACUGCCAUCAGUCUUCAACUCAAAUACAGUAUGUGAGACAUUGGAGAUGAGGGGGAAGUAUUUAGUAGUAUAAAAAAUAGCCACCAGAUUACUGCUGAUGGUCCAAAUCCAUGCAGAAACAAUCUGGCGGUGACCCUGGGAAACUUAAAGAAGACGUGCAGCCUGAAAGAAUCCCUUAAACACAGCCAGAAUCACAAGCUAUUUGACUGACUGAUGGUUUGAUAGGUGGCAUGAAGUUGACUGCUGAACCCCUUAUACAAAAGCCAUCAUGAAUCAUCUCAAGUUUCUAGAAUGAAGGAAGAUGACAACAACCACUGCCGGCCUAUUGGACUUCAGCUUUCUUCUCAGUCUACCAAGGCCACUCUGGGCAGUUUACCUCCAGCAAUCCAGUUAAGGUAUCCAUUAGCAUCGGCCCUGCUGACUCCAGAUUCUGAAAGGCUAAAGGUCUCCUUUUCCCGACAUAAAGCUAGGCAAGUCUGCUUGCCAUGAUACAAUGACAGGUCAAGUGCUGAUCACUGGCCGAAAAAGGAUGUCAACAAAGUAAGCCGAACAGUCUGUGAAACUCAAUGCUACCCUCUUACUCCAUCUCAAGUUUGAACCAUUACUGAAAUAAUUGAU
This 769-nucleotide long non-coding RNA is filed under the name Pogona vitticeps (central bearded dragon). RNAcentral describes it as "lncRNA (ENSPVIG00000015191.1)". The record is from RNAcentral. Lineage: Eukaryota; Metazoa; Chordata; Lepidosauria; Squamata; Agamidae.